UGCAAGUGGUAGGAAUCUGAAAGGACCGACCUUCGGGAGCUUGCACAGGUGCUGCAUGGCUGUCGUCAGCUCGUGUCGUGAGAUGUUCGGUUAAGUCCGCUAACGAGCGCAACCCUCACUGUGUGUUAUAUGUGUCACACGGGACUGCCGGUUUUAAGCCGGAGGAAGGUGGGGAUGACGUCAAGUCAGCAUGGCCUUUAUAUCCUGGGCUACACACACGCUACAAUGGUCGGUACAAUAGGUUGCCAAGCCGCGAGGCGGAGCCAAUCCACAAAGCCGGCCUCAGUUCAGAUUGUAGGCUGCAACUCGCCUGCAUGAAGAUGGAGUUGCUAGUAACCGCAGGUCAGCAAUACUGCGGUGAAUGCGUUCCCGGGUCUU
Molecule: ribosomal RNA, 378 nt
Filed under: uncultured Anaerolineaceae bacterium
Lineage: Bacteria; Bacillati; Chloroflexota; Anaerolineae; Anaerolineales; Anaerolineaceae
Description: bacterial SSU rRNA
Rfam family: Bacterial small subunit ribosomal RNA
Source: RNAcentral